This 502-nucleotide ribosomal RNA is filed under the name Vermamoeba vermiformis. Its description in RNAcentral is "SSU rRNA". It matches the Rfam family "Eukaryotic small subunit ribosomal RNA", at positions 1215 to 1719 of the family's 1831-position model. Lineage: Eukaryota; Tubulinea; Echinamoebida; Vermamoebidae. The record is from RNAcentral.
UUACGAGGUCAGGACACUGUGAGGAUUGACAGAUUGAAAGCUCUUUCUUGAUUCAGUGGGUGGUGGUGCAUGGCCGUUCUUAGUUGGUGGAGUGAUUUGUCUGGUUAAUUCCGUUAACGAACGAGACCUUAACCUGCUAAAUAGUCACGCGAACCGGUCCGCAAGGGCUCAAAGUUCGCGGCUCGACUUCUUAGAGGGACUAUUCGCACCCGCCAGCGAAUGGAAGUUUGAGGCAAUAACAGGUCUGUGAUGCCCUUAGAUGUUCUCGGCCGCACGCGCGUUACACUGACGGAGUCAACGAGCGUUUUUCCUUGCCCGAUAGGGUUGGGUAACCUCCUGAAACUCCGUCGUGAUGGGGAUAGAUCAUUGCAAUUAUUGAUCUUGAACGAGGAAUUCCUAGUAGGCGCGAGUCAUCAACUCGCGCCGAUUACGUCCCUGCCCUUUGUACACACCGCCCGUCGCUCCUACCGAUUGAACGGUCCGGCGAGAACGCCGGAUGGUC